RNAcentral lists this ribosomal RNA (460 nucleotides) under uncultured bacterium. RNAcentral's name for it is "partial 16S ribosomal RNA". It matches the Rfam family "Bacterial small subunit ribosomal RNA", at positions 338 to 795 of the family's 1533-position model. The record is from RNAcentral.
CCUACGGGUGACAGCAGUGAGGAAUAUUGGUCAAUGGGCGCGAGCCUGAACCAGCCAAGUAGCGUGAAGGAUGACUGCCCUACGGGUUGUAAACUUCUUUUAUAAAGGAAUAAAGUGAGGCACGUGUGCCUCUUUGUAUGUACUUUAUGAAUAAGGAUCGGCUAACUCCGUGCCAGCAGCCGCGGUAAUACGGAGGAUCCGAGCGUUAUCCGGAUUUAUUGGGUUUAAGGGGAGCGUAGAUGGGUUGGUAAGUCCGUUGUGAAAGUUUGCGGCUCAACCGUAAAAUUGCAAUUGAUACUGGCAGUCUUGAGUACAGGUGAGGUAGGCGGAAUUCGUGGUGUAGCGGUGAAAUGCUUAGAUAUCACGAAGAACUCCGAUGGCGAAGGCAGCUUACUAAACUGCAACUGACAUUGAUGCUCGAAAGUGUGGGUAUCAAACAGGAUUAGAUACCCCAGUAGUC